GUAGGGAUGGCUCAGCAGUUAAGAGCACUGCUUGCUUUUCCAGAGGACCCAGGUUCAAUUCCUAGUACUCACA
Molecule: transfer RNA, 73 nt
Filed under: Neotoma lepida (desert woodrat)
Lineage: Eukaryota; Metazoa; Chordata; Mammalia; Rodentia; Cricetidae
Rfam family: tRNA
About the family: Transfer RNA (tRNA) molecules are approximately 80 nucleotides in length. Their secondary structure includes four short double-helical elements and three loops (D, anti-codon, and T loops).
Source: Rfam by way of RNAcentral